CUAAUACCGGAUAGGACAUUNUGCCGCAUNGUGGGGUUUUGAAAGUUCCGGCGGUAUGGGAUNGCUUGCGGCCUAUCAGCUNNUUGGUGGGGUNAUGGCCUACCAAGGCGACGACGGGUNGCCGGCCUNAGAGGGUNACCGGCNACACUGGGACUGAGACACGGCCUAGACUCCUACGGGAGNUAGCAGUGGGNAAUCUNGCGCAAUGGGUGAAAGCCUNAUGCAGCAACGCUGUGUGGGNNAUGAAGGCUNCGGGUNGUNAACCNNUUUCACCAUCGACGAAGCCUUUUGGGGUNACGGUAGGUGGGNNAGAAGCACCGGCUAACUACGUGCCAGCAGCCGCGGUAAUACGUAGGGUGCGAGCGUAGUCCGGAUUUAUUGGGUGUAAAGAGCUGGUAGGCGGUUUGUCGCGUCGGCCGUGAAAACCUACAGCUAAACUGUGGGCUUGCGGUCGAUACGGGCAGACUUGAGUUCGGCAGGGGAGACUGGAAUUCCUGGUGUAGCGGUGAAAUGCGCAGAUAUCAGGAGGAACACCGGUGGCGAAGGCGGGUCUCUGGGCCGAUACUGACGCUGAGGAGCGAAAGCGUGGGGUAGCGAACAGGAUUAGAUACCCUNGUAGUCCACGCCGUAAACGGUGGGCGCUAGGUGUGGGNACUNGUUCCACGGUUUCCGUGCCUUAGCUNACGCAUUAAGCGCCCCGCCUNGGGAGUACGGCCGCAAGGCUAAAACUCAAAGGAAUUGACGGGGNCCNGCACAAGCGGCGGAGCAUGUGGAUUAAUUCGAUGNAACGCGAAGAACCUUACCUGGGUUUGACAUGCACUNGAUCGCCCUAGAGAUAGGGCGNCCCUNGUNGCUNGUGCACAGGUNGUGCAUNGCUNUCGUNAGCUNGUGUCGUGAGAUGUUGGGUAAAGGACUGCCGGGGUNAACUCGGAGGAAGGUGGGGAUGACGUCAAGUCAUCAUGCCCCUUAUGCCUAGGGCUUCACACAUGCUACAAUGGCCGGUACAGAGGGUGGCGAGACCGUGAGGUGGAGCGAAUCCCAGAAAGCCGGGNUCAGUUCGGAUCGGGGUCUGCACCUNGCCCNNGUGAAGUCGGAGUCGCUAGUAAUCGCAGAUCAGCAAUGCUGCGGUGAAUACGUUCCCGGGCCUUGUACACACCGCNCGUCACGUCAUGAAAGUCGGUAACACCCGAACCCAUGGCCCAACCCCGUGUGGGGGAGGGAGUNGUCGAAGGUGGGACUNGCGAUC
Molecule: ribosomal RNA, 1246 nt
Filed under: Saccharopolyspora rectivirgula
Lineage: Bacteria; Bacillati; Actinomycetota; Actinomycetes; Pseudonocardiales; Pseudonocardiaceae
Description: 16S ribosomal RNA
Rfam family: Bacterial small subunit ribosomal RNA
Source: RNAcentral